CUACGGGCGGCACCAGUGGGGAAUCUUGCACAAUGGAGGAAACUCUGAUGCAGCGAUGCCGCGUGAGUGAAGAAGGCCCUUGGGUUGUAAAGCUCUUUUGUCGGGAAAGAUAAUGACUGUACCCGAAGAAUAAGGUCCGGCUAACUUCGUGCCAGCAGCCGCGGUAAUACGAAGGGACCUAGCGUAAUUCGGAAUUACUGGGCGUAAAGCGCGCGUAGGCGGUUAAGUAAGUUAAUUGUGAAAGCCCAAAGCUCAACUUUGGAAUUGCAAUUAAAACUACUUAGCUAGAGUUUAUCAGAGGAAAGCGGAAUACAUAGUGUAGAGGUGAAAUUCGUAGAUAUUAUGUAGAACACCAGUUGCGAAGGCGGCUUUCUGGGAUAACACUGACGCUGAGGUGCGAAAGUAUGGGUAGCGAAGAGGAUUAGAUACCCGCGUAGUC
This 439-nucleotide ribosomal RNA is filed under the name uncultured bacterium. Its description in RNAcentral is "partial 16S ribosomal RNA". It matches the Rfam family "Bacterial small subunit ribosomal RNA", at positions 339 to 795 of the family's 1533-position model. The record is from RNAcentral.